CCCUUAGAUGUUCUGGGCCGCACGCGCGCUACACUGAUGCAUUCAACGAGCCUAUCCUUGACCGACAGGUCCGGGUAAUCUUUGAAUCUGCAUCGUGACGGGGAUAGAUUAUUGUAAUUAUUAAUCGUCAACGAGGAAUUCCUAGUAAGUGUGAAUCAUCAGUUCGCGCUGAUUACGUCCCUGCCCUUUGUACACACCGCCCGUCGCUGCUACCGAUUGAGUGGUCCGGUGAAUUAUUCGGACCGGUGGACUGUGGGGUAACUCGCGGUCUGCUGGGAAGUCUUGUGAACCUUAUCACUUAGAGGAAGCAGAAGUCGUAACA
Molecule: ribosomal RNA, 322 nt
Filed under: uncultured eukaryote
Lineage: Eukaryota
Description: partial 18S ribosomal RNA
Rfam family: Eukaryotic small subunit ribosomal RNA
Source: RNAcentral